CGGUACGAACGCUGGCGGCGUGCCUAACACAUGCAAGUCGAGCGGGGUUGAAGCGAGGGGUAACUCAAGCUUCUACCUAGCGGCGGACGGGUGAGUAACGCGUGGGCAACCUGCCUCAAGGUCUGGGAUAACAGCUCGAAAGGGCUGCUAAUACCGGAUAUGCCUAUGGCCUCGCAUGGGGCUAUGAGCAAAGGGGAAACCCGCCUUGAGAUGGGCCCGCGUCCCAUCAGCUAGUUGGUGAGGUAACAGCUCACCAAGGCGACGACGGGUAGCCGGCCUGAGAGGGUGACCGGCCACACUGGGACUGAGACACGGCCCAGACUCCUACGGGGGGCAGCAGUGGGGGAUCUUGCACAAUGGGCGAAAGCCUGAUGCAGCGACGCCGCGUGAGCGAAGAAGGCCUUCGGGUUGUAAAGCUCUGUCUGGAGGGACGAAGGAAGUGACGGUACCUCCGGAGGAAGCCACGGCUAACUACGUG
Molecule: ribosomal RNA, 478 nt
Filed under: uncultured bacterium
Lineage: Bacteria
Description: bacterial SSU rRNA
Rfam family: Bacterial small subunit ribosomal RNA
Source: RNAcentral